This 396-nucleotide transfer-messenger RNA is filed under the name Richelia intracellularis. RNAcentral's name for it is "Standard tmRNA". It matches the Rfam family "transfer-messenger RNA". From Rfam's summary of the family: Bacterial tmRNA, also known as 10Sa RNA or SsrA, is named for its dual tRNA and mRNA-like properties. Lineage: Bacteria; Bacillati; Cyanobacteriota; Cyanophyceae; Nostocales; Nostocaceae. The record is from RNAcentral. RNAcentral also lists the same sequence under 2 other names.
GGGUCCGUACCGGUUUUGACAGGUUGGCGAAAUCUACUCUGUGACUCAGGUCGAGAGUGAGUAUUCUCUCGAAAAUAAAAUGCUCAAAACAAAAGUAAAUGCGAAUAAUAUCGUGUCUUUUGCUCGUAAGCCCGUUGCAGCUAUUGCAUAGGUAAUAAGCCUCUUAUAGGUUCGAGCCUUCAUUGUCUGACUCCGUUAACGACUUUGGAGCUAACCCCAACGGAUAUGCCAAUUAGUUAUCUCUGGUUAAUUAGUUGGUAAGAAACUUACUAGAGUAUCCUGGCGUUCGGGAUAAUGAACGUUCCCCGCCCUGAGGGUAAAAGGGGCUAAACCUGUGAAUGAGCGGGGGGUUAAUACCCAGUCUGGACAGCAGUUCGACUCUGCUCGGAUCCACUA